GUUUGUACGUCUUACUUUACUGAACAUUCUUGCUACUUAUAGUUAUCUCUAUCUAUAAAGAACUUGGCCCAGUAGUUUCAGUGGAAAAUGUUAGUAAAAAUUUACAAAUUUUAUGAAAAUUGUUAAAACUUGACUAUAAAGGACAAUAACUCCUUAGGGAGUCAAUUGACCAUUUCAGUCAUGUUGACUUAUUUGUAAAUCUUACUUUGCUGUACAUUAUUGCUGUUAAA
Molecule: long non-coding RNA, 230 nt
Filed under: Mytilus galloprovincialis (Mediterranean mussel)
Lineage: Eukaryota; Metazoa; Mollusca; Bivalvia; Mytilida; Mytilidae
Source: RNAcentral